GGGGGCGGGCGGUCAGGCCCCGCGCAGCGUCUCCGGGCCUUAUAAGGGCUUCAAGUCAGCCCAGCCAUCUGGAAUGUGGCGGGGACCCGGGCGGAGGGAGGCGGGGCGGUGCUGGGACCUCCGCCACCCCCCGCCGGCCUCGGGAGGGCCCGCCCCACUCGUGGAUCUUGGGAGAGGAAGGUCCACCUAGGACGUGAGGCCCGAAGCCUGAAUUUCUGGGUCCUUCAAAAUCCCCUCGAAGCGGGAACUGCGGUGUCGGAAUCCAGGCCAGAGAUUGGUAGCCACACCUCCCACCACCCCUCGGAAGUCAGGAGGAGGUCAGGACUGGCCUACACUCUGGCGUUCUAGAAAGCGGGUACUGCCGGGUCCCAAGCAGGCAAGGAGGAAGAGCGCGAGCCACAGCUCCACAGAAGUGCCCCGAGGAAGGAGGUGGGUAGCGCAGGGACCGCGCGGAGGGGAGGGGUCCGUCGCCUUCCGCCAGGCAGCCGCCGCCUGAGGUCAGAACUCAGGAAUGCGCGGCCGGAGACAGCCGGAGAGAGAGGAAAUACCCCUUCGGCUUCUCCUGGCUGCUUCAGGACUCCCCCGGCCACGCCCAUCCCCUCUCGCCACCUCCACGCCAAACACCACACCCCGUCGCUCAAACUGAGAUUCGCGUCCCUAAACCCUAGCCUGCUCCACUGUCAGUAACCCAAGGACGCUGGCCUCAGCCUUGGCUUCUCUCUGGCUUAGGACACCAGCUUCCCAGUCCUCCCUUUUUGGCGUUUGGGGCCCAAAGUUCGAAUUUUGUCCCCAGAAUGGAGGGGUGGGGAGCGUGGAAGGCCAUUCUCUUUCCCAAACCCAAACUUCCAACUCCAAGCUCCUCCCCUCCUGAAGACCUUCUUGUACUAGAUAUCAACCCCCUUCAGCCAGGGCACAUAGGGGUCCCCAUCCCUCUCAGACCCAGGAGUCCAGACACCCACGUCCCUCCUCCAUCAGACCCAGGAGUCCAGACACCCACGUCCCUCCU
Molecule: long non-coding RNA, 1006 nt
Organism: Lontra canadensis (Northern American river otter)
Lineage: Eukaryota; Metazoa; Chordata; Mammalia; Carnivora; Mustelidae
Exons: 3
Source: RefSeq, a predicted model, not a curated record